This is a long non-coding RNA of Dromaius novaehollandiae (emu), 4490 nucleotides long. RefSeq lists it as uncharacterized. Lineage: Eukaryota; Metazoa; Chordata; Aves; Casuariiformes; Dromaiidae. The transcript is spliced from 7 exons. The record is from RefSeq and is a predicted model, not a curated record.
CGCUGGGCGGGUUUGGUGGGAAGUGCUGAGGCGCCGCGCGGGGGAAGAGCCGAGCCUGCGGCACGGAGCGGGGGUGGUGGGGAGCGGCCAGGUUCCCGCGGUGCCCUGGCAGUGCUGACCGGUCCCCUCGCUGAGGUGCCGCCCUGUUUCCCUCACAGCCCCCGGUCGCGGCGCUACCGCAGAUGCCGCGGUAGCUGCGAGGGACGGGAGCCCCGGGCUGCCCGCGGGUGCCGCUACAGGGAUAGCGGGGCAUGGUGAGCGCCGAGGCGACUCUGGGGUGCAGAAAGGCAGCGGAGCCCGAGGGACAGCGCCGGGACUGGGAAGAGAAACGCCGAAGCCCCUGCGAGCGCGGAAAGCGCCGCCGUCGGCGAGGGAACCGUUAGAGCAGCGCAGCGGGGACGGCGCCGGGCACUGCAAAAAAGAAAAUAGCAGGAAACUGUUAGAACAUUCACAUAAGACAUGGAAGGGGAAAAAAAAAGAGAAGAAAGGAAGGCACUCUGGGGUCCAGGCUUCACUCUCUAAAAAGGUCACAGGAGAGCAUCUCUGGUCCUCCUGGUGCCGUCUUUCACUUUGCGCUUCAUAGCACUGAGAAUUCUGCAUCCAAGCCUCAAGUCUCCUGCUCAACCCUGCAGUGGCAGGCACCAGGUGCCGCACCUGCUCCAGAUGCGGAAGCAAGUGGGGAAGAAGAUCCUGCCCUGCAAUACGGAUAGCUCUGAUUACUCUCAGCUCCAGAGUCUCGAAGAACAGCUCCCUUCUUCCCGAGCGGAAGAGCGGAAGACUGAAGCGGAGGGAAGAGCAAGGCACUCUGGGCACAGGGACCUCCCUGUAAGCAGGGCUCAGGUCCGCUGAGAGCAUCGCUGGCACUGUUGGUGCCCUUUGUUACUUUGCGCUGGGCGCCCUGCCUGCAGCCAGGGCUCGGGUCUUUGAUGUUUCUUGGUGGCCUUUUUGCCACGUGGCUCCUUCAGCUGCCUGGGGAGAGUGACGACCCUGUAAGGAGGGUGAGAGGCGCUCUCCCCUCACCCGCGGGGGAACUUGAGCUCUCUGGACCCCCUUCCCACCCUGUAAGCAGGGGUGGGCCCCUCGCCCCGCGGCUUUCCGCCUGCUGACAACCUGGCCAGCGUGACGGCCCCGUAAGCGGGGUGUCUGUCACAGCAUCUGCCUUUGGGCAAGCUCUGAGGCGCCUGGUGAUGGUGAGGGCUCUGGCCUCCGUGCGAGCUGGGGGCAAGUCGGAGCCUCUCUCGUGCUCGUGGGUGAGCGUCUGGGGGCGUUGAUCUCGGCUGCCCUGGGUCCUCUUGCCCUCCUGGAAAGUCAUGUUUGCGUGCGUGUGCGCGUGUUGGUGUGCGUGCCUGGGGGUGAGUGAGUGAGCGAGCUUGCGCUUAGGCUCCAUGUGCUAAUACUGCAGCGUACCUAACCUACACUUCCCAGGAGAGCAAGCGGAAGUCUGGGUGCAGCAGGAGCUCGAUGCUGCCUGGUGCCCUGCGUCGCGGGAGAGCCCAGGCCUGGCCCUGGCUGCCGGAGGGCAGAGUUAAGCCACUCACAAAGGCGGUGGGCGGUGCGACCUGCCCGUAGUGAGGGCCUAGGUCUCUGCCGGCAUGGCGCUCUGUCCUGCUGGCAGGCUGGCCAGCGUGACAAGCCUGUGAGCAGGGCGAGCGUCACGAGCUGUGGAGCCCCGUGUCACCCGGAGCAGCUUGCCCUCCCCGUAAGUGGGGGCCGGGGUGCCGGCACAGGAGUGCGGCCUGCUGCUGUAGCCAGCAACGAGGAAUGACCCCUCCCUGCCCCUUUAGAAGAGGGCAGGUUGAGGAAGCGCUCUGCAAGAGGGGCCGGCGCAGGACAGCCUGCCGCCUGUUCUCCUGGUGGGACCUGCCCGCGGCCGGGGCUGAGGCGGGUGCCUGGGCUCCCGAAGACGAGGCGUUGUGCGUCAGCCAGCACGGCCAGCCCGUAAGCGGGGCGUGGCUGAGAGCCCGCCGCUUUGGAGGGCUUGGCGCUAGUGCGGAGCGGUGAGGGUGAGCGCCCUGUAAGGAGGGCUCCGCUGCCGGGCUGUGGAGAGUCAUUCCUGUUGCUGUGGGGGACGGCCGAGCUCUUGGACUCCCCGGGUGUCGACCCGCCUGUAGUCAGGGCCGGGGUCGCGGGGCCUUUGUGCCCAGCUGGCAGCUUGCUCGGGGUGACCGGCCUGUGAGUGGGGCCUAGGUCCGAGUGGCCCCGACGCUGAGAAGAGGAGCCUCCCGCGGGCCCAGGGCUGCCCUGUGACUCGGGGACUGGCUGGGGUGCCGAGGGCUGUGCUGUCCAGCCGGUGGCGCGAGCCGCCUGUAGGCAGGGGUGAAGUCUCUUUGGCCACCGCUGGUCAUGGCCAGCUACGGGUGCCCAGAGUGCCAGCCUCCCAGCCACGCUUCAGCACCGCCCUCGGGCAUCCCGCAGCCCCAGCUGCGGUGCAGGCGGCCGGACACCUGCUGUCCCGAAGACGGGCCAGUCGAGUCGGCAGCAGUUGCUGGUUCACAACACCAGGAAUUGUACCCCCAGGCCUCAAGUCUCCUGCUCAACCCUGCAGUGGCAGGCACCAGGUGCCGCACCUGCUCCAGAUGCGGAAGCAAGUGGGGAAGAAGAUCCUGCCCUGCAAUACGGAUAGCUCUGAUUACUCUCAGCUCCAGAGUCUCGAAGAACAGCUCCCUUCUGGGUCUUUAGAAAGCUUCUGCCUGCACACUUCUGGCAGGGAGAACAGAGAUUUCCCCGUGGCAUACACUUUGCAAAUUUCAAACCCACCUCUGCUUGAAUUCCUGCCAACAAAAUUGCACUACACAUGCAAUUUUAGCUUUGUGCCAGUCACUGGAGUGUUUUGGCUGUGGUGAGGACACAGGUGGUGGUGGGAGCAGAAUGCGUAAGGCGGACUUUCAGGGAGAACCUGAGCUUUUUUGUUCAGGAGUUUGCUGAUGUUGCAUUCUGACUGUGACAGUUUUCCAGCAGGAGUUGGUCAGACUAACACUGCAGGAAGAGUGGCUUAUUUUGCGAAGGCUUGCCUAUGAGGUGCAGUAUGGGAAGUGGGAGAGCAGUUUAGUGCGAAUGGAUGAAAUCUGGGCAGGUUGUAGGUAGGUUUUGAGCAGGUUGUAGGUGCCCGUUAGGUGCAGCGUAGAGGGCAAAGUUGACUUGGUGUGUGUGGUGCAAUGGGAUUGGUGUGGAAAGCUGCUCAGAGGUGGGUUUUGCGAGUGACGCCAAGAUCCACGACCCAGCUGCCUACUUCAGGCCUUUUUCCUCUGCCUACCUGGGCUGAGGAGGGCCGUGCAGAGCUGCACUGUUACCGGGUCCCACAGGAGUGGACCAGUGCCGGCUCGAACCAAGGCAAAUUCCCGAAAAACCGUAACGAAGGGGGAGAAGAUCUGGAGCUGAAUCAGAACAUAGACCACUGUGCAAAGGGGCCACGCUUCAACAGCCAACUACCCCACACUUGGAAGACGGUGGCCCAACACUGGGUGUGUGCGUCACCGUGAGAUUGCAGGAGCAGCUGCAGGAGAAGGCCUGGAUGGAGGGAGUGGCCAAGGCAAGCGGCUCUCAGAGAAGAAAGAAGAGGAAGUCCAUAGUGAGCUUGAAAAGCCAAAGAGGAAGAUUUGAAGGCUGAACGGGGGGGGCCUCAAGAGGGGGCAAGAAGAGAGGAAGGAGAGCGGAAGAGCGGAAGACUGAAGCGGAGGGAAGAGCAAGGCACUCUGGGCACAGGGACCUCCCUGUAAGCAGGGCUCAGGUCCGCUGAGAGCAUCGCUGGCACUGUUGGUGCCCUUUGUUACUUUGCGCUGGGCGCCCUGCCUGCAGCCAGGGCUCGGGUCUUUGAUGUUUCUUGGUGGCCUUUUUGCCACGUGGCUCCUUCAGCUGCCUGGGGAGAGUGACGACCCUGUAAGGAGGGUGAGAGGCGCUCUCCCCUCACCCGCGGGGGAACUUGAGCUCUCUGGACCCCCUUCCCACCCUGUAAGCAGGGGUGGGCCCCUCGCCCCGCGGCUUUCCGCCUGCUGACAACCUGGCCAGCGUGACGGCCCCGUAAGCGGGGUGUCUGUCACAGCAUCUGCCUUUGGGCAAGCUCUGAGGCGCCUGGUGAUGGUGAGGGCUCUGGCCUCCGUGCGAGCUGGGGGCAAGUCGGAGCCUCUCUCGUGCUCGUGGGUGAGCGUCUGGGGGCGUUGAUCUCGGCUGCCCUGGGUCCUCUUGCCCUCCUGGAAAGUCAUGUUUGCGUGCGUGUGCGCGUGUUGGUGUGCGUGCCUGGGGGUGAGUGAGUGAGCGAGCUUGCGCUUAGGCUCCAUGUGCUAAUACUGCAGCGUACCUAACCUACACUUCCCAGGAGAGCAAGCGGAAGUCUGGGUGCAGCAGGAGCUCGAUGCUGCCUGGUGCCCUGCGUCGCGGGAGAGCCCAGGCCUGGCCCUGGCUGCCGGAGGGCAGAGUUAAGCCACUCACAAAGGCGGUGGGCGGUGCGACCUGCCCGUAGUGAGGGCCUAGGUCUCUGCCGGCAUGGUGCUCUG